RNAcentral lists this long non-coding RNA (4764 nucleotides) under Homo sapiens (human). RNAcentral describes it as "HSALNT0368320". The record is from RNAcentral. Lineage: Eukaryota; Metazoa; Chordata; Mammalia; Primates; Hominidae.
GUGCCCGCGCCGAGCGGACGCGGAGGAGGAGGCGGUGGCAGUGGCGGGAGCGGGCGGCCGGGCUCGGCUGGGCUCCCUCCCGCCCCCGCCGCGCCCCGCGCCCGCGCCCGCGCCCGUGGCAGCCCGCUCCUCCUCCUCCUCCCUCCCGGCUCCAAUCCCCACGUUCCGCCAGCUCCCCACCCCUCGGCCUCCUCUCCUCCCCACCUUCUCCCGCGAACCCACACUCACAAAGAGCCGAGGGGAGAGAGGGUGCGCAGACGGCCAGCCGGGCCGCGCCAGGGACAUACUGGAGACAGGAAGUGGCUGAGAGGGGGAGAGAGUUGGAGAGAGACGGCCGCGGAGGACACGGGGACGGGAAAGUCUGAGAGACGGGGAGAGCCUGACCCGGCGGGACACAGGCAGAAAGAAACACGCGAGCCAGACAGACGCAGAAGAAACGGUGGGCGUAGGUCUAGAAGGGACUAGGAACAAGGGGACAGGGAACUGCCGCGCAGCGUCAGCCUCUUACCCUCCCCACAGGAGUGUGCCUGGGCUUGGGCCUGACCUGAGAGGACCACCCGUGGCUUAGCCUGGUGGUGCUAGCGUCCCCUACCCAGGCGGGCGCCUGAAUCAGGUGAAGACACCUGGUGUUACUUUUGGCCCAAGUCAUUGGACACCCUUCCCUGGUCCUCUGCCCCACAGGAGACUUCUCCUGGGCUAGUAUUCUCAAAGGAUUCACAGCUGGGGACCUUUCCGUCAGGCUCAAGCCCCCAUCUCCACCCGCAAGCAGCUCCAGCCAUCCCAUCCACUGCCCUGCUUUAUUCAUUGAGACGGGAGUCUGUCUCUGUCGCCCAGGCUGGAGUGCAGUGGCGCCAUCUCGGCUCACUGCAACCUCUGCCUCCCAGGCUCAAGCGAUCCUCCCACCUCAGCCUCCCGAGUAGCUGGGACUACAAGAUGGGCGCCGCCACGCCCAGCUAAUUUUUUGUAGAGAUGGGUUUUCGCCAUGUUGCCCAGGCUGGUCUCCAAUUCUUGAGCUCAAGCGAUUUCCCCUUCUUGGCCUCCCAAAGUGCUGGGAUUACAGACGUGAGCCACCGUGCCCGGCCCAUUGCCCUAUUUUAAAGAGCUGGACCGUCAUUCCCAGUUCGCAGGAGACCUCUGAGAAGGUCUUCCUUACAUUUAACUUGAGUCCAGCCUUUCCAAAUGGAGAUGGAAGUUCUUUCUAUGGUCUGACCUCAUUCCCUUCUUUUGCAGUGCCUGGUACUGGAUAGGAACUUCAUGGAAUGGAGCUAAUGGGCCGUAGGGCAGGUUUGAGUCGUGCCACCCUGGAGCAGAAGGUGGAGGGUAGGGAUAAGGUAGGGGACAUCUUCCUAGAAGUUCUGAACCUGUUGCCAUUCCUACAUUCCCCCAACGUCCUUUAGCAGUGAGCACUUCCUGAAACUUUCUCCCUCCUUCACCCUCCCUGCUGGAUUUUCCAUGAUGAAAAGGGGCGGGGGGAAGGAAGGUUGGAAUUCUGAGAACCCAGUGCCCAGGGCUCAAUGCCCAGUGCUUGCCCAAAGUAGCCAGUACCACUGGCUCUAAGGCCUUCUUUCCCUCCCCGUCUCAUCUCAACUGGGUCCCUUGUCUUUGGCAAAGGCUGAGAAGUCUGGUUCUCAUUUCCAGGGGGUGGAGCACCUGAUUCCAAUCUUGCCACAGGGAAGAAGAGUCUGUGAAGAAGUGCGUGAUGACUGUGUGUCCCCCCCCACCCAGAAAUUGGCAUUUGGGAGGGGUGGAUAUGGUUGGGACUGGGGAGCCUUGAUCUUACUGCUCUUGGUUGAGUUGGUGUCCAAUAGACAGUUUCAGAGGUUAGAGCAGUGGGAGUCACUGGGGACUGGGGACAGGAGAGGUGGGGGUGGGGGAAGCCAGGCGGGAAUGAGUAGGGAGGCACUGGGAGGAGGGGAGAGGCAAGAGUUAGGGGAAUACCGAGGAAAGUGGCAGGGAUUGGAGGCUCCUGGAGAAAGGGCAAGGCUGAAGGUUGUCCCAUGUAUUUUGGCCAGAUUUGAUUAUGUAAUCGAGAAUCAUGAGAUAAUUAAGUGUGUUCAUGUCUCUGGAGCCUUCAACCAGCUCUUUUAACAUCUUGCUCUUCCCAGCAUUCCUUAGGGUCUUUGGCUGGGCUCUGGGAUGGAUGCCAUGGGAGUACCUUUACUUAAGCUCUAAAGUUACCAAUGGAGAGACUGGGACUCAAAGAGGAACUUGAUUGGACCCCAGAGAGGUGAGGGGUAAGGGCUAGAACCUCACACAUGCUGGUUUUGCUGCUGCCUGGCAGGCCCAUGGGAAGAACUUUAGAGGUUCCAAGGAAUUGGAAAAGGGUCACAAGAUGGGUGGCCAAACUCCCAGCUCAGGCUUGAUUCCUACUCUCAAUGUGGGGAUAGUGGAGAAGGGGGCUGCAGGAAGGGCUGAGAAAAGCUGAGAAUGAGAAGUUAUACAGGAGGUAGCUUGGUGGGAGUGAAACAAAAAUGAGUGGUUCAUGGGCCAGCCAGGCAUCCUGAUUUCCAGCUCACAGCAGCAGGAGCUUCAGAGAGGAAGAAGGAGAGGAGGAGAAAGCCAGGUUGAUGUUAGUAAAGGUCAAACAAUUUCAGGAGCACCUCUGACCUCCCUCCACACAGGUUUUCUUACCUUGACUAUGCAGAGGGUGGUCCAUCUUGGCACUGAAGAUGGAACCCCCUCUUCCAUGGUCUGGGGUGACCCCAUGCCUGUAACUGAAUGUGCUCAGAUCCUUGGGGUGCGGGGACUGUAGGGGGAGGAUUUGAAGGUGUGGGACUGUCCUGGCUGGAGACCACUGGGUCAGGAGAACUCCAGUAGAGGGUUUGGGUGCUGGGAACCAGGAAGAGUGGGGGAAGGGGCAGAGCCAACUCCAGAGGCGGAUCUCCUGGCUGAGGACAGAGGGUGUAUUGUCCAAGCUGGAGGUUGCUGUAGCUGGGCGGGGAGCAGCUCAGCUCGUCUCUUCCAAAUUUCUUUUGGGGGAGGGUAAGGGAAGGCAAGCCCCCCUUUACUUGUGGCCCUGGGGGCUACAAUGGUUGCUGAGAAACAAGGCUUAUUUGACAAAUAAUGCUUCCCAGGAGCAGAUGUGUAGCUCUCUCACUUCCUGAGAAACCAGAUGCUGUGAGCUCGCUUAGCACUUGAGGCGACGCCCUCAGCACGAACUGGGACCCUAGUGCCUUGGGAUCCGGAGUAUAGUGCUUGAUUCUAUUGAGAAGAAACGAGGCUAAUGUGGACUGGGAGACACACGGGACCUAAUCAGCCUCAAGUUAGCCCUUUUGAAGUAGGUUGCUGCACCUGCACUUUCCCCCUACUCGUCCACUAGUUCAAGAUUUACAAGACGUUGACAAUGAGGGCUGACCAGUCCUGGGUCCACUCCUGCAGCUGGGGGGCUUCUCGGUGGACCCACACUUUUUUUUUGAGACAGGGUCUUGCUCUGUUGCCCAGGCUGGAGUGUAGUGGUGUGAUCACAGCUCACUGCAGCCUUGACCUCCUGGGUUCAAGUGAUCCUUCCUCCCAAGUAGCUGCAACUAUGGGCAUACACCACCAUACCUGGAUAAUUUUUCUAUUUUUUUGUAGAGACAGGGUCUUGCCAUGUUGCCCUGACUAGUCUCAAACUUCUAGGCUCAAGCGAUUCUCCUGCCUCAUCCUCCCAAAGUGCUGGGAUUACAGGUGUGAGCAACCAUUGAGACAAGAGUCUCGCUCUGUCACCCAGGCCGGAGUGCAGUGGUGCGAUCCCGGUCCACUGCAACCUCCACUUCCCGGGUUCAAGCGAUUCUUCUGCCUCAGCCUCCUGAGUAGCUGGGACUACAGGUGUACACCACCAUGCCUAGCUAAUUUUUGUAUUUUUAGUAGAGACGGGGUUUCACCCUAUUAGCCAGGCUGGUCUAGAACUCCUGACCACAUGAUGUGCCCGCCUUGGCCUCCCAAAGUGCUGGGAUUACAGCUGUGAGCCAUGGCACCUGGCCACACACGUCUUUUUAAAUUUAAAUGAGGAUGUGGCCAUAUUACAGCCCAGGUUUUCUCUGACUUUAGAGUACCUUUUGGGACAUAGGGCCUUCCUCUCUACCCUUUCUGUACACAGCCAUCAUAAACCUCUUUCAACAAGCCUUUCCUAUUUUUAUGUUCCUUCUUUCCAUCAUUUACCUAGACCUCAUUAUUGCACAGCUGAGAGUGGCUUGAAACAAAGGCUUGGAGAAUGUGAGUGAAACUGAUUCCUGUGGUGGAGAGGCAGUGAAAAAGCAUUACCUUGUAGGUUUCCAGGCAGCCUGGACAAUAGGGGCACCUAAACCCACAUUGAAAAGCCUUCACAUCAUCACAGCUGAGUCUCAUAGCCUUCAACUUUACCAGUUUUGGAGAACAGAGAUAAAUGCACUGGCCAGAAACUAGAAGAGCAGCUGCUCCAAUUGGCUGGGAAAUCAUUUAACUGGCUCCUCAUCUUGGCUCUUAAAUCCCCAAAAUUGUUGACUGAGGUUUCCCGGGCUCCUUUCUAUGCUCCACCUCCUUGUGACCUUAAGGAUUCUCUGCCACUGUCCUAACCCCUUUCCCGCCUUGCAACAAUGACCAGUCUGUCCCUAGCUGUUUGGAAAAUUCCCACUGAGUCUGUGAGCCUCUGUUCUGGUAACCUCGACCAGCCUGUCACCAGUAUCUCUGGUCCACCAGUGCGGUGUAACUCAAGGGAGCAGCAUCUCUCCAGAUUGCUGAAGUGAGGGAGGGAGAUUAUGAGGGAACUGCCCCAAGGACACAAGGAUUCAUUCUUAGAGUUCCCAC